ACUCCUGAUGCGGUUGACCCCGCCGCUGCUGGGGGUGGACAGCUGCUGAAGCUCCAGCUUCCUGCGGGGCUUGGCCUUCUGCAGGUAACACCCAUCGCUGUCCUCAUACCGGCCGCUGCUGCCGGUGCUUGGUUUCCUGUCUGGAUGGGCAAGUGACAUGGCUUAUUGUUGGAGAUGGGUCACGCGGGGCAGACGCCCCCUCCAUCGAGGGGAUCAAACCAAACUGGAACUGAAGCAGGGGGCAGGUAUCCUUGGAUCCUCAGGGGAAAGGUCCCUGCUUGCUUUGUAAGCUUCCAGAAUGCUUUUACUGGGAAACCUGGAUAAUGAGCAAAAAUCAACCAAAACCAAAGAAGCCCUGGAGACAUAUAAGUUGCCGUAAAAGAGCUGAAUGAAGGGGUGGAAUGAGAAGGGCAAAAAGUUAUAUCGACAAAGGUGUCGGGGAACCAAGCUCUUGUGAUAUUUUGGCAUAAACCAUACAGCAAAGAGGUAGUUACCCCUAGCAGACUUCUUUUGGAGAGCAUCAAACUUUAUUCCUUGGUAAAGUUCCAGAGAGAUCAAUCCAUAUGCCACCAUCAUCACGAUCCCGGGAAUAAGAAAAAGAAUGAGUAACAGGAACGUGUGCCUAAUAAAAUAAGAAGAAAUUCAAUAACCAUCAACUCUAGUAUUUCAAACUCAGGAUGGAAAAGAUAGGAUUCAUCUCCAUUUCAACUGGUCUGGAUAAAGUCUAUUAUGAAGGACUAGUUAAGUUGGAAAAGGCUGGUGUGUUCUGUGCCUGAAACAAGCCUUCAUGUGAAACCAAUGAGAACUUAAGAACAGCAAAGGCAUGUGAAUAAUCUCAAUAAAGCUGUUACCAA
Zalophus californianus (California sea lion) is the source of this 854-nucleotide long non-coding RNA. RefSeq lists it as uncharacterized. The record is from RefSeq and is a predicted model, not a curated record. NCBI's taxonomy places the organism in Eukaryota, Metazoa, Chordata, Mammalia, Carnivora, Otariidae. The transcript has 4 exons.